GCCCACAUAGCUCAGUGGUUGAGCAUCGACCUAUGAACCAGAAGGUCCUGGUUCGAUUCCUGGUCAGGGUA
RNAcentral lists this transfer RNA (71 nucleotides) under Myotis davidii. It matches the Rfam family "tRNA". From Rfam's summary of the family: Transfer RNA (tRNA) molecules are approximately 80 nucleotides in length. Lineage: Eukaryota; Metazoa; Chordata; Mammalia; Chiroptera; Vespertilionidae. The record is from Rfam by way of RNAcentral.